This 193-nucleotide small nuclear RNA is filed under the name Macrophomina phaseolina MS6. RNAcentral describes it as "U2 spliceosomal RNA". It matches the Rfam family "U2 spliceosomal RNA". From Rfam's summary of the family: U2 is a small nuclear RNA (snRNA) component of the spliceosome (involved in pre-mRNA splicing). Complementary binding between U2 snRNA (in an area lying towards the 5' end but 3' to hairpin I) and the branchpoint sequence (BPS) of the intron results the bulging out of an unpaired adenosine, on the BPS, which initiates a nucleophilic attack at the intronic 5' splice site, thus starting the first of two transesterification reactions that mediate splicing. Lineage: Eukaryota; Fungi; Ascomycota; Dothideomycetes; Botryosphaeriales; Botryosphaeriaceae. The record is from Rfam by way of RNAcentral.
AGCUCAUCUUAGCCUUCUGGCUUGGAUCAAGUGUAGUAACUGUUCUUUUGCCCGUGAAACGGCAAAGGUCCCUACGGGGUACCGCUUGCUGUACCAGUUUUUUUGGGACCGGCCUGGAGAGCACUGAGCCCCACUUAUCUCCCUGGGCACAGUGUCACCUCUAUUGCACUGACUGGGGCUGACACGAACGACG